GACGAACGCUGGCGGCGUGCUUAACACAUGCAAGUCGAACGGAAAGGCCCUGCUUGCAGGGUACUCGAGUGGCGAACGGGUGAGUAACACGUGGGUGAUCUGCCCUGCACUUCGGGAUAAGCCUGGGAAACUGGGUCUAAUACCGGAUAGGAGCCAUUUUUAGUGUGAUGGUUGGAAAGUUUUUUCGGUGUAGGAUGAGCUCGCGGCCUAUCAGCUUGUUGGUGGGGUAAUGUCCUACCAAGGCGGCGACGGGUAGCCGGCCUGAGAGGGUGGACGGCCACAUUGGGACUGAGAUGCGGCCCAGACUCCUACGGGAGGCAGCAGUGGGGAAUAUUGCACAAUGGGCGCAAGCCUGAUGCAGCGACGCCGCGUGGGGGAUGACGGCCUUCGGGUUGUAAACUCCUUUCGCUAGGGACGAAGCUUUUUGUGACGGUACCUAGAUAAGAAGCACCGGCUAACUACGUG
RNAcentral lists this ribosomal RNA (465 nucleotides) under uncultured bacterium. Its description in RNAcentral is "partial 16S ribosomal RNA". It matches the Rfam family "Bacterial small subunit ribosomal RNA", at positions 28 to 507 of the family's 1533-position model. The record is from RNAcentral.